UGUCGGUCCCCUCGCGACAAUAAACUGUUAACCCGGUCAGGCCCGGAAGGGAGCAGCCGCAGCAGUGGACUUGGGCGCCGGGGUGUGGCUGGUACGG
Molecule: signal recognition particle RNA, 97 nt
Filed under: Gammaproteobacteria bacterium
Lineage: Bacteria; Pseudomonadati; Pseudomonadota; Gammaproteobacteria
Also listed under: 1 other name
Description: signal recognition particle sRNA small type
Rfam family: Bacterial small signal recognition particle RNA
About the family: The signal recognition particle (SRP) is a universally conserved ribonucleoprotein involved in the co-translational targeting of proteins to membranes. Archaeal SRP consists of a 7S RNA and homologues of the eukaryotic SRP19 and SRP54 proteins.
Source: RNAcentral